This 253-nucleotide ribosomal RNA is filed under the name uncultured bacterium. Its description in RNAcentral is "partial 16S ribosomal RNA". It matches the Rfam family "Bacterial small subunit ribosomal RNA", at positions 524 to 776 of the family's 1533-position model. The record is from RNAcentral.
UACAGAGGGUGCAAGCGUUAAUCGGAAUUACUGGGCGUAAAGCGAGCGUAGUCGGUUAUUUAAGUCGGAUGUGAAAUCCCCGGGCUCAACCUGGGAAUUGCAUUCGAUACUGGAUAGCUAGAGUUCGGCAGAGGGAAGCGGAAUUCCAGGUGUAGCGGUGAAAUGCGUAGAUAUCUGGAGGAAUACCGGUGGCGAAGGCGGCAUCCUGGACCGAGAUUGACACUGAGGAGCGAAAGCCAGGGGAGCAAACGGG